This 501-nucleotide ribosomal RNA is filed under the name uncultured bacterium. RNAcentral describes it as "partial 16S ribosomal RNA". It matches the Rfam family "Bacterial small subunit ribosomal RNA", at positions 30 to 523 of the family's 1533-position model. The record is from RNAcentral.
AUUGAACGCUGGCGGCAGGCUUAACACAUGCAAGUCGAGCGGGGGAAGGUAGCUUGCUACCGGACCUAGCGGCGGACGGGUGAGUAAUGCUUAGGAAUCUGCCUAUUAGUGGGGGACAACAUCUCGAAAGGGAUGCUAAUACCGCAUACGUCCUACGGGAGAAAGCAGGGGAUCUUCGGACCUUGCGCUAAUAGAUGAGCCUAAGUCGGAUUAGCUAGUUGGUAGGGUAAAGGCCUACCAAGGCGACGAUCUGUAGCGGGUCUGAGAGGAUGAUCCGCCACACUGGGACUGAGACACGGCCCAGACUCCUACGGGAGGCAGCAGUGGGGAAUAUUGGACAAUGGGGGGAACCCUGAUCCAGCCAUGCCGCGUGUGUGAAGAAGGCCUUAUGGUUGUAAAGCACUUUAAGCGAGGAGGAGGCUACUUUAGUUUAUACCUGGAGAUAGUGGACGUUACUCGCAGAAUAAGCGCCGGCUAACUCUGUGCCAGCCGCCGCCGUAA